AAGAAAAGAAGAGGAUAAGAAAAUAAGAGGGGAUAUGCUUCACCUCCACUCAAAAAGACAAAAAAAAACAAAAAAAAAAAGAGAAGAACCCCUUCUCUAAAAAGAAAACGAAAAAAGAAAAUUGAAAGGAUUGGAUCUUUAUCUCUUCAAAACCUCGUCCGCAACAAAACCUCUUCUUCUCCCAAACGUCACACAAACCACCACCACGAAAAACCGUCGUCUUCACCUCCACACCCAAGCUCCC
This 244-nucleotide long non-coding RNA is filed under the name Lathyrus oleraceus (garden pea). RNAcentral describes it as "Pisum sativum (pea) long non-coding RNA (PSAT_LNC010793)". Lineage: Eukaryota; Viridiplantae; Streptophyta; Magnoliopsida; Fabales; Fabaceae. The record is from RNAcentral.